This 72-nucleotide transfer RNA is filed under the name Myxococcales bacterium. RNAcentral's name for it is "tRNA-Val". It matches the Rfam family "tRNA". From Rfam's summary of the family: Transfer RNA (tRNA) molecules are approximately 80 nucleotides in length. Their secondary structure includes four short double-helical elements and three loops (D, anti-codon, and T loops). The record is from RNAcentral. Lineage: Bacteria; Pseudomonadati; Myxococcota; Myxococcia; Myxococcales. RNAcentral also lists the same sequence under 1 other name.
UGGUGUGUAGCUCAGUGGGAGAGCACUACCUUGACACGGUAGGGGUCCGCGGUUCAAUCCCGCGCACACCAA